Molecule: non-coding RNA, 175 nt
Filed under: uncultured Cycloclasticus sp.
Lineage: Bacteria; Pseudomonadati; Pseudomonadota; Gammaproteobacteria; Thiotrichales; Piscirickettsiaceae
Description: 6S / SsrS RNA
Rfam family: 6S / SsrS RNA
About the family: E. coli 6S RNA was the first non coding RNA to be sequenced, but its function was unknown until recently. It consists of 184 nucleotides that fold into an extended hairpin structure with a large single-stranded internal bulge.
Source: RNAcentral
UUCCCUGCGGUGUUCGAACUAAGGUGAAAAACCCUUGGACCUAAUUACCCUACCGGGAAGACCGAUCACCUUGUUGGUGUGCAUGCUCUUUUUUAGAGAAGCCUGAUACAAGUGUCAGACUCCCACUUGAACCUGCCGGUUCAAGGUAGAAACCUGAAUGCGGCGCCAGCGGGGA